ACGGAGGGUGCAAGCGUUAUUCGGAAUUACUGGGCGUAAAGGGCGUGCAGGCGGGCGAGCAAGUCUGGUGUGAAAGCCCGGGGCUUAAGCCCGGAAGGGCAUUGGAAACUGCUUUUCUUGAGUUCUGGAGAGGAAAGUAGAAUUCCCGGUGUAGCGGUGAAAUGCGUAGAGAUCGGGAGGAACAUCAGUGGCGAAGGCGCCCUUCUGGACAGCAACUGACGCUGAGGCGCGAAAGCGUGGGGAGCAAACAG
This 251-nucleotide ribosomal RNA is filed under the name uncultured prokaryote. RNAcentral describes it as "partial 16S rRNA". It matches the Rfam family "Bacterial small subunit ribosomal RNA", at positions 525 to 775 of the family's 1533-position model. The record is from RNAcentral.